Molecule: ribosomal RNA, 253 nt
Filed under: uncultured bacterium
Lineage: Bacteria
Description: partial 16S ribosomal RNA
Rfam family: Bacterial small subunit ribosomal RNA
Source: RNAcentral
UACGAAGGGGGCUAGCGUUGUUCGGAAUCACUGGGCGUAAAGCGCACGUAGGCGGACUUUUAAGUCAGGGGUGAAAUCCCGAGGCUCAACCUCGGAACUGCCUUUGAUACUGGGAGUCUUGAGUUCGGGAGAGGUGAGUGGAACUGCGAGUGUAGAGGUGAAAUUCGUAGAUAUUCGCAAGAACACCAGUGGCGAAGGCGGCUCACUGGCCCGAUACUGACGCUGAGGCACGAAAGCGUGGGGAGCAAACAGG